CACCAAGCUUCCAGGAAAAGCCACUAAGCUUCAGUCUAGAGUUGACCGUACCGCAAACCGACACAGGUGGGCAGGAUGAAAAUUCUAAGGCGCUUGAGAGAACUCAGGAGAAGGAACUCGGCAAAUUAACACCGUAACUUCGGGAGAAGGUGUGCCCCGGUAGCGUGUAGAGACUUGCUCUCGAAGCGCGAUGGGGUUGCAGUGAAAUGGUGGCUGCGACUGUUUAAUAAAAACACAGCACUCUGCAAACACGAAAGUGGACGUAUAGGGUGUGACGCCUGCCCGGUGCCGGAAGGUUAAGUGAUGGGGUGCAAGCUCUUGAUCGAAGCCCCGGUAAACGGCGGCCGCAACCAUAACGGUCCUAAGGUAGCGAAAUUCCUUGUCGGGUAAGUUCCGACCUGCACGAAUGGCGUAACGAUGGCCACACUGUCUCCUCCUGGGACUCAGCGAAGUUGAAAUGUUUGUGAAGAUGCAAUCUACCCGCGGCUAGACGGAAAGACCCCAUGAACCUUUACUGUAGCUUUGCAUUGGACUUUGAACCGGUUUGUGUAGGAUAGGUGGAAGACUGUGAAGCCGGGACGCUAGUUUCGGUGGAGUCAACCUUGAAAUACCACCCUGAUUUGUUUGAGGUUCUAACCUUGGUCCGUGAAUCCGGAUCGGGGACCGUGCAUGGUAGGCAGUUUGACUGGGGCGGUCUCCUCCCAAAAGGUAACGGAGGAGUACGAAGGUACGCUUAGGGCGGUCGGACAUCGCCCACAAAGUGCAAUGGCAAAAGCGUGCUUGACUGCGAGACCCACAAGUCGAGCAGGUACGAAAGUAGGUCAUAGUGAUCCGGUGGUUCUGUAUGGAAGGGCAUCGCUCAACGGAUAAAAGGUACUCUGGGGAUAACAGGCUAAUUCCUCCCAAGAGUUCAUAUCGACGGGGGAGUUUGGCACCUCGAUGUCGGCUCAUCACAUCCUGGGGCUGUAGUCGGUCCCAAGGGUAUGGCUGUUCGCCAUUUAAAGUGGUACGCGAGCUGGGUUUAAAACGUCGUGAGACAGUUUGGUCCCUAUCUGCCGUGGGCGCUGGAAAUUUGAAGGGGGCUGCUCCUAGUACGAGAGGACCGGAGUGGACGAACCUCUGGUGUACCGGUUAUGACGCCAGUCGUAUCGCCGGGUAGCUAAGUUCGGAAGAGAUAAACGCUGAAAGCAUCUAAGCGUGAAACUCGCCUUAAGAUAAGAUUUCCCGGAGUCUUGAACUCCCUGAAGGGUCGUCGAAGACCACGACGUUGAUAGGUCAGGUGUGGAAGCGCAGCAAUGCGUUAAGCUAACUGAUACUAAUUGCCCGUGCGGCUUGAUCC
This 1339-nucleotide ribosomal RNA is filed under the name metagenome. RNAcentral describes it as "bacterial LSU rRNA". It matches the Rfam family "Bacterial large subunit ribosomal RNA", at positions 1598 to 2925 of the family's 2925-position model. The record is from RNAcentral.